Long non-coding RNA from Prionailurus viverrinus (fishing cat), 1335 nucleotides. RefSeq lists it as uncharacterized. The transcript has 4 exons. The record is from RefSeq and is a predicted model, not a curated record. Lineage: Eukaryota; Metazoa; Chordata; Mammalia; Carnivora; Felidae.
UUCCGAUGAGAAGGAACGUUUUCAAAAUAAGUCUGUGGCAGAAGAUUAAGAAAGAGUAAAACGAAAUUCUCAGAUCGCGCUGCUUCUUUGAAAAGAAUAUAGCAAAGAUGAAAAGCGUGGAAAGUCUCAUCAAGGAAUAAAGGGACUAGAACCCCAGUCGCAGAGGGAAUUUUAGACAGAGAGCAGUGUGCACAACCCUAUGCCCUUUUGAUACAACUGAUCGCGACCUCCUACCUGACAGACUCUUUCGACUGGGCCGCCGGGACACGAUCCUCCAGGUUUCCUGUUGCCUCACAACACAUCCAUCUGAGGCAGCAGCAGGGAGCCACUCGUCACUACUGUUGAUCGGAGACUGGGGCUUUCAGCUCAGGAUCCUACUUGGAUGAUUCUGGUCGCCUUGGCAGAAGAGUAAAAAGCUCUAGAAAAUUAUCACUGGUAAUCAACUGCCUCUAAAGCGAAUUCUCAAAGCUCAGUGGCCAGAACUGUUCGCACGGCUUGAUACGUCCUUAAGACAGCCAGGAAGUGUCAUCCCACUCCAUUCUGAGGGCCGGGAGCUAGAAAUACGUGGUGCUCUCCUGAACACCAUGGGCUCCCAGCAGUGCUCAAGAUAGAAAAGCACAGUCCUCACACCAGCUUGUGAAGCUCUGCAUUAGCAGCCGUCGCCCCCACCUCUCUGGCCUCACCGCCCCCUGCUCUCUCCCUGCUACCGUUACCAUUGCCUCCGAGACGCCUUUCCUCCGCCUGCGUGGCUCUUCCUUCAAAGAUCUGUACAAUAAUUCCUUCCCCUCCUACCCUGACCGGUUUACUUCAAAUUGUAAUCCACCCCUUCUCCGUCGCUAAUCCUCACCCUGCUCUCUACACGCACACCUGCGCAAAAACUUCACGAGGGCAGGGAAGGCAGGGGCCGUGUCUGUUUUGUCCACGGAUGUGCCCCCCACAAGCCAAGCCCAGAUCAGCACCUGCACAAGACAGGAGCUCAGGAAUUGUCGCUUCAGUGAAUGAUCCUCACUAGUGGUCAGGAAAAUACAAAGGAAACCCGCAAAACAUUGCCUCACACCCAUGAGAUGAUAAAGCGUACAAGUGUGACAGUUGCAAGCCCUGAUGAGGAGUUAGUGAGAGGAAACUCCUGCGCUGCUCAAGAGUGCACGCUGGGUGCAGCCACUCUGGGCAAUCUGGCACUCUGGAGUCAAGUCCAAGAUGCAGAAACUGAAGCUUAAGGAUAGGAAGGAGACUCCCCUCAGCUUUGGGCUAAUUAGAGUCUCAGCUUCCUGACUCAACUGUGGGGGUUCCUUGAACAACAAAGCCACAGAACAAAUGUUUAGAGGAGGGGCAAAG